GGGGAUGACAGGCUUCGAAGAAGAUCGAAGGCAUAUUGCUCAAGUUGAGGACGGAAAGUUCACCUCAUAAAUCAUCUUUCCAACCCACUAAGUGCAAAUAAACCUGCGCUUGCCUACGCUUAAUAUUGCGUAAGCCAUCUUGCUUUCUGACGUCUCAUAGGAAAAACAAGGUGUCACAUUAUGAGGCUCGGCAAUUUUACGCCUCGGAAAAUUGCAACACUAAGAGGCAAACUGCCGUUUUAUUCGUCCGGCUUUACAACGGCAGAAACCAGCCGGAAUAAACUUGUAAACCAAUUUGCUCUAAAUUUUCUGACCCGGGUUCAAAUCCCGGCAUCUCCACUG
Molecule: transfer-messenger RNA, 342 nt
Filed under: Candidatus Niyogibacteria bacterium CG10_big_fil_rev_8_21_14_0_10_42_19
Lineage: Bacteria; Candidatus Niyogiibacteriota
Also listed under: 1 other name
Rfam family: transfer-messenger RNA
About the family: Bacterial tmRNA, also known as 10Sa RNA or SsrA, is named for its dual tRNA and mRNA-like properties.
Source: RNAcentral